CAGUCGCCGCGGUAAUACGAAGGGAGCGAGCGUUGUUCGGAAUCACUGGGCUUAAAGCGUGCGUAGGCGGAUUUGUAAGUCAGAAGUGAAAGCCCAGGGCUCAACCCUGGAACUGCUUUUGAGACUGCAAGUCUUGAAUUCGGUAGAGGUUAGUGGAAUAUCCAGUGGAGAGGUGAAAUUCGUAGAUAUUGGACGGAACAUCAGUGGCGAAGGCGACUAACUGGACCGAGAUUGACGCUGAGGUACGAAAGCGUGGGUAGCAAACAGGAUUAGAUACCCGCGUAGUCCCUGUCUCUUAUAU
RNAcentral lists this ribosomal RNA (301 nucleotides) under uncultured bacterium. RNAcentral describes it as "partial 16S ribosomal RNA". It matches the Rfam family "Bacterial small subunit ribosomal RNA", at positions 509 to 809 of the family's 1533-position model. The record is from RNAcentral.